This 440-nucleotide ribosomal RNA is filed under the name uncultured bacterium. RNAcentral describes it as "partial 16S ribosomal RNA". It matches the Rfam family "Bacterial small subunit ribosomal RNA", at positions 338 to 795 of the family's 1533-position model. The record is from RNAcentral.
CCUACGGGAGGCAGCAGUGGGGAAUAUUGCACAAUGGGGGAAACCCUGAUGCAGCGACGCCGCGUGAGUGAAGAAGUCUUUCGGGUUGUAAACUUCUAUUAAGAGGGAAGAAGAUGACGGUACCUGAUUAAGAAGCCCCGGCUAACUACGUGCCAGCAGCCGCGGUAAUACGUAGGGGGCAAGCGUUAUCCGGAUUUACUGGGUGUAAAGGGAGCGCAGACGGCAGUGCAAGUCUGGAGUGAAAGCCCAGGGCCUAACCACGGAACUGCUUUGGAAACUGUGCAGCUAGAGUACUGGAGGGGUAGGCGGAAUUCCUAGUGUAGCGGUGAAAUGCGUAGAUAUUAGGAGGAACACCAGUGGCGAAGGCGGCCUGCUGGACAGUAACUGACGUUGAGGCUCGAAAGCGUGGGGAGCAAACAGGAUUAGAUACCCUAGUAGUC